UUUUUUUUUUUUUUUUCAUUUUUGUCUCUGUCCGUGGCAUGCAGAAGUUUCCAGGGCAGGGGUUGGGCCCAGCUUAGAGCAGUAACCAGAACCACCAAAGUGAAAAUGGUGGAUCCUUAACCCACUGAACCACCAAGGAACUCCUGAGAAAUAUUCUAAUUUUUUUUCUAUCUCUUAUCUUUUUAGGGCUGCACCCAUGUCAUAUGGAGGUUCCCAGACUAGGGGUGAAAUCAGAGCUGUAGUCACUGGCCACAGCCACAGCCACAGCAACGUGAGCUCUGAGCUAUGUCUGCAACCUAAACCACAGCUCAAGGCAACACCAGAUCCUUAAUCCAAUGGUCGAGGCCGGGGAUCAAACUCCUGUUCUCAUGGAUGCUAGUUGGGUUCAUUAACCACUGAGCCACACAGGAACUCCUCAAUUCAUUUCUUAAACAAGUGAUAAAUGUAAAUUUAAAAUUAUAGAGGAAAAAUAGGACAUAUUUCACAUAUCAACUCAAGUGGCUCAGCCUUGAUAAAAAAAGAAAGGAUUGAUUUGUGAUUCGGGUAAUAAGGUUGUCAAUAGGCAACUGUUCCCAACUGCUACAUUCUCAGUAGGGAAAGAAAAAUUACCAUGACAGAAAUGAUAUCUAUUAUAUCCAAACAGCUUCAGUCUUUUGAUGGUGGACAGGUACAUGCAAAUGGGUUUGAAAUAUGUCUUGACUUAAGUAAAUGUGUUAAGAAAAAUAUGUAAACAAAAUAACAAAAUCAGCCAAGCAUAGAAAGAGUUCAUAAAAAGAAAGCUUGAUCUCUUAGGCUAUGCCAGUUCUCUAACUUCCAUCAUGAUUUAUAAAAUAAUUAAAUAGAAAAUGCAGGUGACACAUACAACAGCUUUUUGUUAAGCUAUUUUUUCUUUUCUCUCUUUUUUUUUUAGGGCUGCACCCAUGGCAUAUGGAAGUUCCCAGGCUAGGGGUUGAAUUGGAGCUGUAGCUGCCAGCCUACACCACAGUCAUAGCAACUCGGGAUCUUAGCUGCAUCUGUGACCUACACCACAGCUCACGGCAAUGCCCAAUCCUUAAUUCACUGAGCAGGGCCAGGGAUUGAAACUAAAUCUUCAUGGGUAAUAGUCAGAUUUGUUUCCAAAAUGGGAACGCCCUCUUUUUUUCUUUUAUUAAUGAAGCAAUUUUUUUCCUGUAUUGUUUCCUGAAUGUCUAAACAUACCGCCUUGAGUUUCCUUAGGUAGGUUCUAAAAUUGUGUUGCUACAGUCCAUUCUUAGUCCAAUAAGUGAAGCUCAUUCUUUACCUAGGAGUUAAUAAAUGAUGGUUACUUAUUACCUAAGUAUUUCCUUGGGCUGAGUUUCACAUGAGAUGGAUGUACAUCUACGUAGUAGAAAUAGCAGAGAUACACUCAUGGUUCUGAUAAUUCUCAUAGUGAACUUACACAUUGUCUCAGAAAAUAAUAUUCUAUUAAUAUUAAAUUCAGAUGACAACACAUACUAAAAAUACUAGAAAUUCAAACUUAUCUAAACUGGUAGAAAAUGACAUUUUAUUUCAAAUGUAAAAUGUUUUUCUCUUUCAAUCAAAUGUCUUUUCCUUAAACACAGAAAAUAAUUUAAAAAAAAAACAACAACGUAUAUUUAAAAUUCCACAUGGACAGUUGAUAUACUUCCUUUUAUUAAGUUUCAGCAAAUCAUUAAAAACAUGAUUAGAUACAUAAGAGACAUUACGUUCCUGAAUUACCCCAAUAUUCCAGGUCAGAUGGCCUAAGGUGCUAUACAUCUAUUCUGCAGAUGAUUGAUUUUUCUCAAGAUCUUAUUCAAAGUUAAUGAUGGAGUUAAAAAUAGCAGUUGUUUCCUUUGUUAUUCUGCCUUUCUUCCAUCUUACCCUGGUUCUUGUUUGCAUGAUUUCACAAAAGUGAGGACAAGGUGAAUUUUAAAGAAAUUAGAAAAUGAAGAAAUCUGAGGAAACUGAAUGUUGAUAAUCUCAACAGUUCUUGAAGUCUGCUUAUCUACUACUAAACAGGCAAUUCACUCAGAAGCUGGGGAAAGCUUACAGCUCUCAUCAAAGUCCUCUUUACAAUUACAGAGGUAUUAAAGAAAGUGUCCAAUGUGAGAGGUGAAUCUUAAGUAGUUUAAAGAUUGAAUUUAGAUGAUGAAGAUAAGAACAAAAAUACUUAAUGUUACUGUAGAGCUUUUAUACCUGGGGGCUUAGAGUAUUUAACUAAAGGUCAAAUGAUAUAAACCUCUGAUAGCUGCAAAACUGGCUGAAAAACUUUAUCUAGUCUAAUAUUUUUUUCCCUGCCCUUUUAUGUUCCUACAGUAGGGGGGAAAAAAACCACAAACAAACAAAACCUCAGGGUCUAUCUGUGAGCAUUCUAGCACAUACUCUCUUUAAAAAAUAACGACAGGGCUUUCGACUUGCAGUAAGAAGGAAUAAUUUAGUGCUAAUUUUAAAAUAAUUGUUGAGAAAUAUUAAGCAAAUUUAAUUUACCCCAACCCAAAAUUUAAAAAAAAUUCACUAAUAGAAAUGAAAAAAUAUAACAGCAUAAAAAUAUAACAGCAAACAUUACAGACAUUCUUUAAGAUGAAGAAAUAUCAAAAAUAGAUCCUGAUAAUCUAAAACAGAAAAGAAUAAAUAACACAAAUUUCUAAGUACUCCCUGCCUUCCAAAUAUAGCCAAUUAGAGAUAUUCCUGAUUUACCAUGUAGUUAUGCAGCAAUGUUCCAUAAAAUGAAUGUCAAUCAAAGUUUAAAGACGUAAUGUAGGAGUUCCCAUCAUGGCUCAGCAGAAACAAAUUUGACUAGCAUCCAUGAAGAUGCAGGUUCGAUCCCACUCCGUGUGUUAAGGAUCUGGUGUUGCCAUGAACUAUGGUGUAGGUCACAGACAUGGCUUGGAUCUGGCCUUGCUGUGGUGGUGGCUUAUGCUGGCAGCUAGAGUUCUGCUUUGACCCCUAGUCUGGAAACCUCCCUAUGUCAUGGGUGUGCCCACCCCCAAAAAAAGAAGGAAUGUAAAAGUCUAUACUAACAGACAAAAUGAUACAACAAAGUACUUUUCUUAAAAAUAAAUAACUCUUUUCUUAUAUGUAAUUAUAGAUGUCUCACUUUGUAUUUCCUGGUGUGUUAAACUGCACUGGAUAUGGCUGACGGAAACAUUAUGUGAAAUGUGAAAUAAAAAUGGAGUCGCCAUUGUCACAGGUUUCAGCAUGAAGCUGGGAGGCCAUUAAGGAGUGGCCCUUACAUAUAUCUUCACCAGGUGGAACCAUAAACUUUCAAACUGGGUCAAACCACAAACACUCCAAGGACUCUGCAAGUACAGCAGCAACAUGUUACAGCAAGGAAUUUUUUUCCUCCUUCUAGUGAUAGUUUUAGCACGCAAACUUAUUUAGCCAAGACUUGCUUCUGUCUCCAACUCCAAUUAAGAAUCUCUGUAGUGCAAAACUCCUUUUUUUGCCUUUAAAAUCCCCUGACUUUUACUCCCUAGCAGGACAGUGUUUGGGGUUGUACUGGAAUCUGUGCCAGGGCUUUCAAUUCUUUGAUCCCAAAUAAAUGCUUUAGGCUUGAUUAUUGCCUCCUAGGUUUAUUUAGAUUGACAGUUAUAAUCUAAUAAACACUGGGAAGAGUAUAAUCAUAUAUACAUGUGGGUGGUGAACUUGUGUGUUUCUUGCUUUUUACAGAGCUGAAAGAAUGCUGUAGAUGGCAUUCAAAAUUCUUCAAUUUUGAAGAGCUUCUUCAGUCUUGUAAAUUCAGCUUGGGUAUGGAGAUUGAAAUCUAGACUUUUGAAAAGGUUAAGACUAUUCUUUAUACUUAUCUUAGUGACCAAUUCAGUAAAGUGAUAGUGUACUUUUAAAUAUAUAAAAUACAAGGUAGUGAAAGUUUGCAUUAAGUCAUUCUAGGUCUUUUAAAUGAUAGUAAUUAUGGAAAUAGAAAUAUAAAUUAUUAAUCAUAAUACAUUGUAUGUAAUUCCAAAAAUUAUUUAAAAUCACACAUUGUAUAUAAUUCCAAAAUUUAUUUAAAAUCAUAGUAAUAUCAUAAAACUAACUUAAUUGAUUAAAAUAUACUAAAUGUUAACUAACAUUUUGGUCUUUAAGCAUCUGCUAUUUUAACAUUAUAAAAUGCAAAUGAUUUUUUCUCUCAAUUGGCAGUUUUCCUUCACUAUAAAUCACAACCAAAAAAACUAUACAUAUAUAGGAAAAAAAACCUCUAGCAAAAAAGAAUGUCACGUUGUAGAAACCACACAGUGAUAUUUAAGACAAACAGAAGAAGCUAAGAAGAGGGCUUCUAUUUUAAAUUGGUAUCUCAAUAGGAGUCCCUAGUUUAGCCUAGACCAGCAUUUAUAAAAAUACUCCUUAAAAUGAUGGGAAAAAUUAUAACCAAAGAAAUAACUUUGAUUUGUCAUUUUUAGAGGGAAAAAAUGACACUAAUUGAAGCUUGUUAGCUACCUCAAAGGAAAAUCUAUUCAAAAUUAAUCUUAUUAAUUUUUCCUGCCCAAUCUUUUUGUUUGUUUUAUUUUUUUUUUUUUUUAGCGUGGCACCUGCAGCAUAUGGAAGUUCCCAGGCUAGGGAUCAAAUCAGGGCUACAGCUGUCAACCUAGGCCACAACCACAGCAAUGAGGGAUACGAGGUGCAUCUGCAACCUACACCACAGCUCACGGCAAUGCCAGAUCCCCAACCCACUGAGAGAGGCCAGAGAUUGAACCCACAUCCUCAUGGACACUAGGUGAAUUCAUUUCUACUGCACCACAACGGGCACUCCUUUCCUACCCAAUCUUAUCUCAGCCUCUCCAUCAUUGAACACAUGGGAAAACUGGAUGGGGAAAAUCAGGCAUAGUGUUGUGUUCAUGGCUGCAAUCCCCAAAAAGUGUUCCUCUGAACCCCUGGAUGACUUGAUGCUGGUUGUGUAAUGCAGCAUCCCUGCAUAGGUUAGUUAAGCUGUGUAGGUUAUCCAGGAGACAAGAAGAAAGGGGAAGGUAUACAAAUUUAGGAAGGAAAGUGCAGUUUGUUUUUUGACUUUGUUUCAGACCCUGUGUUACAGAACAUAGAGAAUCAAGCAGUACAUGGGGGAAAUGAGAUCUCCCAGAGUAACGGAGGAAUUAUAGUUAAUCUGUAGUACAAACAGGGAACUCUUCACAUCUACUCAUCCUUUACUUUAAAAUUAAUAUGUAUUCUUCCUGUUCAUAUUAAAGCAUUGGACAUAUCUGUUUUCUGGACAUUAUUUAAGGAUAAGUAAAAACAAACAGAAGACAGAAAGCUACAACAACAUUGGUACUAUGAUUACAAAAAAGAAGAAAAUAAAAACGUCUCCAUGAUUUGGGAGGUGACCUCACCUUUCAUUCUGAAUGUGACCCAAUAGAAACUUCAGAAGGAAAACACAGAAAAGUGAUAUAUCAAAUAGAUGAUAAUAGAACAUGGUCCCUGUGAAUCAGAAGCAGAGCAUAAACUGGAGAAAAUAGACUAAUUAAGAUAAUUAGAUUAAGUAAUACAUUUAAAGGCAAAACAAAAAAGGAGGAAUAGUUAGAAAGCAAAAAACAACACAAAUGGAAUUACAAUACAAUUUGGAGACAAAUAACAAACACAAUGUUGCAGAAAAAUAAUAUAAAAAACUGAACUUUUUAUUUCGGCUGUACCCAUGUCAUAUAGAAGUUCCCAGGCCAGAGAUCAAAUCCAAGCCACAGCUACAAUCUACAUCACAGCUACAGUAAUGCCAGAUAUUUAAUCCAUUACUUCUGGUCAGGGGUCGAAUUCACACCUCCACAGAGACCACAGCCCUGCAAUAGGCUCCUUAACCCACUGCACCACAGUAGGAGCUCUCCAAACUUGUUUUUAAAAAAUGUAAAAAUAAAUUAGCUUAAUGAGAUGGAGUAGGCUACGCAUGUUAAAGAGAAGGGUAUACCAAAAACUAGUUUCCAAAGGAAAAGAUGAAAAAUAAAAGAAACAGAAGUGAAAAAGCAUUGCCAUAUUGUAACCCAGCAGGGCCCUGUGGGGCUCCUGGGCACAAAAGCCUUUCUGUGUCCCCCAUUUGUUGUUUUUAGGAAAGGGGCAUCAUUCAGCCUCCAUGGCCUUCCCUGAGUUCCAAGGGGUGGGUUCAGGAAGUUGCUGAUUAGAGAAGUGAAGGGAUGCAAAGACAGGAAGAAACAAUCAAGCAACAAUAGUACAAAUUUGGGGCAGAGUCCUGGUCCCCCAUCAAGGAUUAUACAUAAAAAUAUAGGCAUUUUGUAUACCUAAGAGCAAAGUUAUAUUCCUUAUGUUUCUUUUAGAAAUAAAUGUUUUGGGAGUUCCUGUGGUGGUGCAGCGGAAAUGAAUCCAACUAGUAUCUAUGAGGACAAAGGUUCCAUCCCUGGCCUCUCUCUGUGGGUUAAGGAUCCAGCAUUGCCUGUGAGCUGUUGCGCAGAUCACAGAUGUGGGUAGGAUCCCACAUUGCUGUGGCUCUGGUGUAGGCCAGCAGCAACAGCUCUGAUUUGAUUCCUAGCCUGGGAAUUUCCAUAUGCUGCAGGUGCGGCCAUAAAAAGAAAAAAAAGGAAAAAAAAAUGAGCAGCUUGGAGCUUUUCUUUGUGCCUCUCUCCUGUUUGAUUGC
This 6544-nucleotide long non-coding RNA is filed under the name Sus scrofa (pig). RNAcentral describes it as "lncRNA (ENSSSCG00030002738.1)". The record is from RNAcentral. Lineage: Eukaryota; Metazoa; Chordata; Mammalia; Artiodactyla; Suidae.